RNAcentral lists this long non-coding RNA (260 nucleotides) under Hordeum vulgare. RNAcentral describes it as "long non-coding RNA (HVUL_LNC004753)". Lineage: Eukaryota; Viridiplantae; Streptophyta; Magnoliopsida; Poales; Poaceae. The record is from RNAcentral.
GCGGUUCGAUAGGAACUUGAACUGGAGUUUCAUGAUCAUCAUCAUUAACUUCCUCCUCAACCGGCGUCGCAACGACAGGGGUUUCCCCUUGCCCUGCGCCACCAUCCAGAGGGAUGAGAGGUUCGACAACCUCAUCAAGUUCUAUCUUCCUCCCACUCAAUUCCCUCGAGAGAAACUCCUUCUCGAGAAAAGCUCCGUUUUUAGCAACAAACACUUUGCCCUCGGAUUUGAGAUAGAAGGUGUACCCAACUGUCUCCUUU